This 70-nucleotide non-coding RNA is filed under the name Lachnotalea glycerini. Lineage: Bacteria; Bacillati; Bacillota; Clostridia; Lachnospirales; Lachnospiraceae. The record is from RNAcentral.
AAAUAAGAUUUAUCAUGAGAAGUCAGCCGAGGUCAUAGUACCAACGCAGUUGCAAUGAGUUGGGAAGGAC